RNAcentral lists this ribosomal RNA (465 nucleotides) under Vreelandella stevensii. Its description in RNAcentral is "partial 16S ribosomal RNA". It matches the Rfam family "Bacterial small subunit ribosomal RNA", at positions 338 to 795 of the family's 1533-position model. The record is from RNAcentral. Lineage: Bacteria; Pseudomonadati; Pseudomonadota; Gammaproteobacteria; Oceanospirillales; Halomonadaceae.
CCUACGGGUGGCAGCAGUGGGGAAUAUUGGACAAUGGGCGAAAGCCUGAUCCAGCCAUGCCGCGUGUGUGAAGAAGGCCUUCGGGUUGUAAAGCACUUUCAGUGGGGAAGAAAGCCUUGGGGCUAAUACCCUCGAGGAAGGACAUCACCCACAGAAGAAGCACCGGCUAACUCCGUGCCAGCAGCCGCGGUAAUACUGAGGGUGCGAGCGUUAAUCGGAAUUACUGGGCGUAAAGCGCGCGUAGGCGGUCUGAUAAGCCGGUUGUGAAAGCCCCGGGCUCAACCUGGGAACGGCAUCCGGAACUGUCAGGCUAGAGUGCAGGAGAGGAAGGUAGAAUUCCCGGUGUAGCGGUGAAAUGCGUAGAGAUCGGGAGGAAUACCAGUGGCGAAGGCGGCCUUCUGGACUGACACUGACGCUGAGGUGCGAAAGCGUGGGUAGCAAACAGGAUUAGAUACCCCAGUAGUC